GCAGUAAUGAAAACAGUGUCCAGGAACAGAUGGCUCCGUCAGUGGGACAGAACGGGUCAUUCCACAGCCAUGUCUCAGCUGUGCAGGCACUUAAGGUGUGAUAAAGGACUCUUUCCAAACCCAGGAGGGAGCAGUGGGCCAUUUAAUAAAUAGCACCAAGACAACUGGUGAGCCAAGUAGAAAAAAUAUAGACCCUACCUACACCUCUGGCAUCCUAUUAAAAACCAAACCCUACACAAAAUAACUCCUUAGCUGUAAGAACAAGACAAUAACAGGGCAAUCUGGCACCUGGAUGCAGGGCAGCAUUCUAGGUGAAAAGGGAGACAGAAACAACAAAGCAGUAGCAGCAAGAAAAUGACCACAAAUGCUUUCAAAACUUCUGACAUCAAACACUCCAGUGCUAAAUGUUUAAAGGUCUAUGCCAUGUGUGGAGACAGCGCUGCAGCUGAGCACUUGCUAUUCUUGUGGGAGACCCAAGUUCAGUUUCUUGCGAGUUAAGUUUCCAAUGCCAACUGGGAGCCUCAUGACCUGGGAGCUGUAAGUCCAGCUCCAGGUGAGCCAUGGUCCUUUGCCUCUGGGGGCACCUGAACUCAUGUGCACAUAUCUAUCCAUAGGCACACACGCAAAUACUUAAUUAAAAAUCAUGAAAACAAAUCUUCAAAAAGUAUGCAUUGAACUUGGAAAAGUAUAUUCCAAGGCAACCUGGCACAGAGAUCUUGUUAUGAUAUUUAAGUAUUUAAAUGUGUGGUUGAAAUUAUUAAAUAACAUUAAAUGAUAACUAUAUAUCUCAAUGGGACAACACUCAAGGAGAUUAACCACAGAAUUUAUAAUGAUAGCCAAGAUUCAAAGGCUCAACCUUGCAAGCAAGUGCAAAGAGGAGAGAUGCCAGCUGUCAUUUAUCUAAAGGAUGGGGAUUUUUCAAAUGCUUACUUUUAAAGCACAGGGUAACGGGGAUGGACGUUACUGCCCGUGGCAUUGUCAGACUGGGGAAGGGUCUGCCAUUGACCAUUUCUCUGCCUUUCAUGUAGCCCCUCUCCUCCUGUAAAUCCAUUUCAAGGACAUAACAAGAAAUGUGGACCAAGAUUAAUGCACAAACAUGCUGCUAGCUCUGUGAUUUGCAAUAGCAAAAUAUUGGCUCACCUAAGGUCCCACACUGAGGGAGUGAACUGAUUUGUCCCCUAUGGCCAACCCUCCAUCUACCGGAUCCUGAGCACAAAGCACUUUCAAGACCGUGGGAAACUCAUGAAUCAUGAGAACAGGGCAGAUCCAGGUUCCGAGGGACCUGAAGAUUGUACAACUUGUGUGGCCUCGGAGAGGAUAAAAAUCACUGGUGGAGGGAGGGGCGGAAUGUAGGCUGUGAGCUCCGAGGUUUAAGCUUCAUUUGUUCCGUGGAGGCUAGCUUGGAAUACUAAAUUAUGAAGUCUGACAAAAAGAACAUAUAAGAAAAUGCUUGUGCAACAGAAAAGGGCGUGAGACAAAGACGCACAUUAGGAGCUUUUGCUAACUGUCCUCACCUUGUUAUGAAUCAUUAACUAAAACAGAAGCAACUUUUAAAUGAAGCAAAGUCGGGCAAGACAAGAAUGGGGAAUUCAGAGAGAAAGGUGGGCAGAGAGAAGACAUGGGGAGCUGGGUUUUAAAGAUGCAUAAGGCAAGCCUGGGGGCCAGUCACAGAACAGCAAGGGCUGAAAGAGAGAUGGCUAGAGCAAGCUGAAGGUGGAGGGUGAGUGUAUAGUGUCUAAGAGGAUGUGGGAACAGGGCCACAGACAGUUCCUAAUUAGAUUCCAGAGGUCUGAGCUUUAUCACAGUAAGGAGCCUGGCAGAGGGUUAGCCUGAGUGGGUCUUCAUAGCUAACAAAUUCUUAGACAGUGCAAGUCGAAAUGUCCCUAGAGGUAGAGCUAUUUGAAAGGACAGUGAAAAUGAGAACUUGGUCCCUGGGGAAAGAAAUAUUUGAAGCAGACGAAAUAAAACAAUUCCAGAUCAGGCAGGAUUGAUACCCCAGGCUAACCUAAGGAAGGCUUCAGGCCAGGAAGGGCUCUGAAUAUUUUGGGGGACAGUGGGAUAGCGAGGUCUCAGGGAUAGGGCCCUAUGAUAAUGUAAUCUGCUGCAGGUCCAGAUCUAGGUGGGAUAUCUGACUUCCCCAUGUCCAGAGCCUAGAGAUAUAUAUCGUUAAAGAAGUUAAAAAUUUGGCACAUCAAACUCUACAGGGGCAGAGAAGGCACUGGCCACCCCUCACAGAGGAAGCAAUCCAUCUAUGCCAUCCCGAGGUAACAAUCAACUGGUGACUGAAGAGUCAGAUAAAAUAAAAAUUCUUGCAACCAAUGUAUACGUGUACUGAAUCUUGGGAGAGAAGUAGAUUUUUCUACCCAGGAAGUUCUUACCUAUGGAAUGAUGGUGGUCUCCUUUUAUGUGUAUGCAUGUGGGAGUGUAUUUCCGUGUGUGUGUGUGUGUGUGUGUGUGUGUGUGUGUGUGUGUGUGUGUGUGUUCAUGGGCAUUUAUGUGUAUUCAGGUGAGUGUGCAAAGAUGUGCUUGUGCAUGGAGGUCAUAGGUCAAUCCUGGGGGAUAUUCCUAAGGAGCAGCCUGCCAUGGUUUUGAGACAGGAUUUGCACUUGGAAAUGGGGCUUGCUGAUGUAGCUAGACUGGCUGGCUAUGAAGCCCCGGUGAACCACCUGUCUCCAUGUCCCCAGCUUUGGGCUUCUGAACAUGCAACACCGGAGUUGGCUUUUUAUGUAGGUGCUGGGGAUUGAAGUGUGUUGUUCACGCUUGUGCAGUAAGGACAGCCCCACCCCUCCAUUCUUCUUGUCUGUAAAUCUAACAGGUUGCUAGAUUCUUUUCUCUGCAGCUUUUUCCAAGUUUAAAAACCGAAGCUUUGGUAGAAAAACACUUGGCAAGUGCCCACACACCUGCACUCUGGCUUAUGUCUGGAUCACAGGAGCUAUAUACAUGAGUCAGAAAAUUACAAGAAGAUGAGAAAAGUCUCAUCUUCAGGGAA
Molecule: long non-coding RNA, 2989 nt
Filed under: Mus musculus (house mouse)
Lineage: Eukaryota; Metazoa; Chordata; Mammalia; Rodentia; Muridae
Description: long non-coding RNA chr7:136290010-136292999
Source: RNAcentral